CAACCUGAGAGUUUGAUUCUGGCUCAGAACGAACGCUGGCGGCAGGCUUAACACAUGCAAGUCGAACGAUAAGCUACCUUCGGGUAGUGGACAGUGGCAGACGGGUGAGUAACGCGUAGCAACCUACCUAGUAGUACGGAAUAACGCUUAGAAAUGAGUGCUAAUACCGUAUACGCCCUUUUGGGGAAAGAUUUAUCGCUAUUAGAUGGGGCUGCGUUAGAUUAGCUAGUUGGUGAGGUAAGAGCUCACCAAGGCGACGAUCUAUAGCGGGUCUGAGAGGAUGAUCCGCCACACUGGGACUGAGACACGGCCCAGACUCCUACGGGAGGCAGCAGUGGGGA
This 341-nucleotide ribosomal RNA is filed under the name Acidimicrobiales bacterium. Its description in RNAcentral is "bacterial SSU rRNA". It matches the Rfam family "Bacterial small subunit ribosomal RNA", at positions 1 to 360 of the family's 1533-position model. Lineage: Bacteria; Bacillati; Actinomycetota; Acidimicrobiia; Acidimicrobiales. The record is from RNAcentral.